This 377-nucleotide ribosomal RNA is filed under the name uncultured bacterium. RNAcentral's name for it is "bacterial SSU rRNA". It matches the Rfam family "Bacterial small subunit ribosomal RNA", at positions 521 to 896 of the family's 1533-position model. The record is from RNAcentral.
UAAGACGAACCUUGCUAACGUUAUUCGGAAUUACUGGGCUUAAAGGGUGCGUAGGCGGUGCGGAAAGUUGGGUGUGAAAUCCCUCGGCUCAACCGAGGAAUUGCGCCCAAAACUGCCGCACUAGAGGAAGACAGAGGUACGCGGAACUUAGGGUGGAGCGGUGAAAUGCGUUGAUAUCCUAAGGAACACCGGUGGCGAAAGCGGCGUACUGGGUCUUAUCUGACGCUGAGGCACGAAAGCUAGGGGAGCGAACGGGAUUAGAUACCCCGGUAGUCCUAGCCGUAAACUAUGAGCACUUGAUUGGAGGGUCCUCCAUAGCCUUCCAGUCGUAGCGAAAGUGUUAAGUGCUCCGCCUGGGGAGUAUGGUCGCAAGGCUG